This is a long non-coding RNA of Poecile atricapillus (Black-capped chickadee), 823 nucleotides long. RefSeq lists it as uncharacterized. The transcript has 3 exons. The record is from RefSeq and is a predicted model, not a curated record. Lineage: Eukaryota; Metazoa; Chordata; Aves; Passeriformes; Paridae.
GGGAUGAGUACUCUGUGAAGCCAUUCUUUUGACCGGUGCUGUCUCUGCUCCCCUAGGAUCACAGGAAUGGAGAUUGCUCUCUUAAGAUUCUGGAAGUGUGGGAAAGAGCUGGGAGAGGAAGAGUAGAAAGCAUCCUCAGCAGACUAUGUGCGGUAAAAGAAGGCCUGGCCCUGAAAUCAGAGGGAAAGCUGCCUGACAAUGUGCUCAUGGAUCUUGCACCGGGGGAUCUUAUGUGCUUUAACCUCUUCCUAAAGGCUCCCAGAGAAGCUCUGCUUUCAUUUGCCAGACCCUCUGCUGCUACAAACUCCUAAAGCUUUUGUGAUUUUCAUGAGGAUUUGACAAGUCACACCAGCCAUGGGUUUGUGGUGCAGAAGCCCUAGGACUUCUGCUGGAUUGUACGCUCAGAGAUGCACAGGAUCUUGAGGGGUCUCCACAUAAUGCUCUUUCAGAGUCAGAUGGUCCCUGUGAAGAUUACUGCUUCUGUCAGAAAAGAAGAGGUAACAGGGUGACUGGGAUACAGGGAUACAGAACCAGUAUCUCUGUUCAAAUGAUAUCAAGGCCCUACACGUGGUUGAUUUGUCCUGGAUGAAAAGGUCCAAACCCAUAAGCUUUUGUGCCAUUGUUGAAAAUGCAAAGCCGUAUUAAUGAAACGUGUUGGAUUAACUUAUUUUUAUUAGAUUUUCCAGAUCAGUUUUUUUAAAAUAAUAAAUCGCAGCAUCAUGGCGGAAGACAGAAGUCACAUAACACGAGAGCUAGCUGAGAGAAAAGAGGACCAAUUUGUUUGAGGAAGAGGACUGCAAUGAUUUGGCAUUCUAAGGGAUUC